RNAcentral lists this ribosomal RNA (446 nucleotides) under uncultured bacterium. Its description in RNAcentral is "bacterial SSU rRNA". It matches the Rfam family "Bacterial small subunit ribosomal RNA", at positions 330 to 792 of the family's 1533-position model. The record is from RNAcentral.
CCCAGACUCCUACGGGAGGCAGCAGUGGGGGAUAUUGCACAAUGGGGGAAACCCUGAUGCAGCGACGCCGCGUGAGUGAAGAAGUAUUUCGGUAUGUAAAGCUCUAUCAGCAGGGAAGAAAAAAGACGGUACCUGACUAAGAAGCCCCGGCUAACUACGUGCCAGCAGCCGCGGUAAUACGUAGGGGGCAAGCGUUAUCCGGAUUUACUGGGUGUAAAGGGAGCGUAGACGGCAAUACAAGUCGGAAGUGAAAUACCCGGGCUCAACCUGGGAAUUGCUUUGGAAACUGUAUGGCUGGAGUGCUGGAGAGGUAAGCGGAAUUCCUAGUGUAGCGGUGAAAUGCGUAGAUAUUAGGAGGAACACCAGUGGCGAAGGCGGCUUACUGGACAGUAACUGACGUUGAGGCUCGAAAGCGUGGGGAGCAAACAGGAUUAGAUACCCCAGUA